Puma concolor (puma) is the source of this 429-nucleotide non-coding RNA. The record is from RefSeq and is a predicted model, not a curated record. NCBI's taxonomy places the organism in Eukaryota, Metazoa, Chordata, Mammalia, Carnivora, Felidae.
GAGUUAUGGCACAACACUGAUAUAGAUAUCUUCAGGAAUACGAACAUGUAUUGGUCAGCAGCUCUACAACGAUGAAGCCACUGGGCAUUUGUCUGUGGACAUUGCAGCUGCUAGGUGUAAUUCCUGUUAAAAGAGUGGCACAGACACAGCCUGGCUCAAAGGUGCAGUUAGCUGUGAGGUGACAAAUAAGGACACAACGCACACAGUAAUGGAUAUUAGUGGAUGGGACCAGGAGCCAGGGGACCAGAGAAUCACGGAAUCACUCUGAAGCUUGUUUCCUCAAAUCUAUACCACCUUUUGAGCCCACCUGCACCUCUCCCUGAAACACCAACAGCUGGCAUGUGGAAUCCACUGGAAAAUGAAAUUGGAAUUUAGUAAUUAUGUAUUUUAAAUUAUUUUAAGUUGCAAUUUUUUUUUAAUGUUUAUUUA